Molecule: transfer RNA, 85 nt
Filed under: Thermodesulfovibrio yellowstonii
Lineage: Bacteria; Pseudomonadati; Nitrospirota; Thermodesulfovibrionia; Thermodesulfovibrionales; Thermodesulfovibrionaceae
Also listed under: 5 other names
Description: tRNA-Leu
Rfam family: tRNA
About the family: Transfer RNA (tRNA) molecules are approximately 80 nucleotides in length. Their secondary structure includes four short double-helical elements and three loops (D, anti-codon, and T loops). Further hydrogen bonds mediate the characteristic L-shaped molecular structure. tRNAs have two regions of fundamental functional importance: the anti-codon, which is responsible for specific mRNA codon recognition, and the 3' end, to which the tRNAs corresponding amino acid is attached (by aminoacyl-tRNA synthetases). tRNAs cope with the degeneracy of the genetic code in two manners: having more than one tRNA (with a specific anti-codon) for a particular amino acid; and 'wobble' base-pairing, i.e. permitting non-standard base-pairing at the 3rd anti-codon position.
Source: RNAcentral
GCCUGGGUGGUGGAACUGGCAGACACAAGGGACUUAAAAUCCCUUGGAGCUUAGCUCCGUGCGGGUUCGAGUCCCGCCCUAGGCA